CUACACAUGCAGUCGACGGUAACAGGAAGCAGCUUGCUGCUUCGCUGACGAGUGGCGGACGGGUGAGUAAUGUCUGGGAAACUGCCUGAUGGAGGGGGAUAACUACUGGAAACGGUAGCUAAUACCGCAUAACGUCGCAAGACCAAAGAGGGGGACCUUCGGGCCUCUUGCCAUCGGAUGUGCCCAGAUGGGAUUAGCUUGUUGGUGGGGUAACGGCUCACCUAGGCGACGAUCCCUAGCUGGUCUGAGAGGAUGACCAGCCACACUGGAACUGAGACACGGUCCAGACUCCUACGGGAGGCAGCAGUGGGGAAUAUUGCACAAUGGGCGCAAGCCUGAUGCAGCCAUGCCGCGUGUAUGAAGAAGGCCUUCGGGUUGUAAAGUACUUUCAGCGGGGAGGAAGGGAGUAAAGUUAAUACCUUUGCUCAUUGACGUUACCCGCAGAAGAAGCACCGGCUAACUCCGUGCCAGCAGCCGCGGUAAUACGGAGGGUGCAAGCGUUAAUCGGAAUUACUGGGCGUAAAGCGCACGCAGGCGGUUUGUUAAGUCAGAUGUGAA
This 558-nucleotide ribosomal RNA is filed under the name bacterium tet-w-12. Its description in RNAcentral is "bacterial SSU rRNA". It matches the Rfam family "Bacterial small subunit ribosomal RNA", at positions 49 to 598 of the family's 1533-position model. The record is from RNAcentral.